RNAcentral lists this long non-coding RNA (443 nucleotides) under Danio rerio (zebrafish). Its description in RNAcentral is "si:ch211-245b21.1 (ENSDARG00000095080.3)". The record is from RNAcentral. Lineage: Eukaryota; Metazoa; Chordata; Actinopteri; Cypriniformes; Danionidae.
AUUGGAUCAAGGAUGCGCUAAUGGACGACACGGAUGACAAGGAAAGUGACAUCGUACAUGUUCUGGGUGUCUUGAGGAGCUUGUCUUUGGAUGAUGCUGAGCAGGUCUUUCUUUCUGGUAACGAUUAUCAUUACAGUGAAGUAAAAGAAUUUAACAGACAGAUUGACAAACAACUGACGAAAGAAGAGAGACCAUUCUAUAGAGGCCUCUAGAGAUCGUGACCUGUGAAGAGAUGAUGCCACCAUAGAGGACUUCUAGAUGUAUCCAUAAUCCUGGACCAGACCGUAUCAUGAUCAGAUGCAGUGGUGGUCAUGGAGAAGUGGAGAGCAUGAUACUGAUUAAUGAAAGACCCCAGCGACAGAUGAGUGCCCACAUUGAUCCUGUGGUCCAGCCUGAAAACCCGCUGGUGCCCUACUCACACCUGCAGCUUCUCCACGAUGGAC